UCAAGGGAACCCAAAACUCAAGUCGGUGUUGCCUUGUUCCCUUUCCCUAGCCGCUUCCUUCACACUUACCUCAGUGAAUCCCUGGAAAAAUGCGCAGUGCAGCUUGAGACCUGCGGCCGUCUACUCCAGGACGACUUCUAUGUUGCCGUUGCACACUUCAUGAAUAUCAUUUGUCUCGUCUGGCCGUCCGGAAUCGAUGUGUGCAGGUACAUGCAGACACCUGAAAUGUACAGACUUCCCAAUCACUGUGGCGAGGUGGCGAUAUUUCUCAUGAUCUUCUGCCCUGCCAGCAGCACCUUCCACAACGGCAAGCCCUUUGUCGUCGUCUAAUUCAGCUUGGGUGCAACACAAUGUUCAUGGCCACCUUCCUUGGUCCCGUCCCUCGGCCUUCCCAGCCCUGUCACCACAGCCCUGCUCUGCUUCCUGCAACAUACGGGACUUGCGUACGCCCUCUGACCGGGCUUUCUCGCACCAUGUCGUGCCUGUGCCGUACCGACCGUUUUCACCGACCGUGCUGUUUUUUUUUAAAUAUUUUUCU
Ornithodoros turicata is the source of this 538-nucleotide long non-coding RNA. RefSeq lists it as uncharacterized. The transcript has 3 exons. The record is from RefSeq and is a predicted model, not a curated record. Lineage: Eukaryota; Metazoa; Arthropoda; Arachnida; Ixodida; Argasidae.